CCCCCGAAGAAUUCCAAGCUCAAAACACUUUACCCCUGAAGAAUUCCAAGCUCAAAACCCUUUACCCCUGAAGAAUUCCAAGCUCUGAAAAAUUUCAAUCUCAAACCUCUUUACCCCUGAAGAAUUCCAAGCUCAAAACCCUUUACCACUGAAGAAUUCCAAGUUCAAAACCAUUUACCCAUGAAGAAUUUCAAACUCAAAACACUUUACCCCUGAAGAAUUCCAAGCUCAAAGCACUUUACCCCUGAAGAAUUCCAAGCUCAAAACCCUUUACCCCUGAAGAAUUCCAGGGAUCCUCGACAGGGUGGGGGGUACGGAUAUU
Molecule: non-coding RNA, 322 nt
Organism: Paramuricea clavata
Lineage: Eukaryota; Metazoa; Cnidaria; Anthozoa; Malacalcyonacea; Plexauridae
Source: the annotation of a GenBank genome assembly